Hordeum vulgare subsp. vulgare (domesticated barley) is the source of this 146-nucleotide non-coding RNA. The record is from Rfam. NCBI's taxonomy places the organism in Eukaryota, Viridiplantae, Streptophyta, Magnoliopsida, Poales, Poaceae.
UUGUCACCUGGAGUUCUUCUCAAAUCACUUUAGUAGCUAGCUCAUACUACCCCAUUAUUGUUGCGUUGCCACUGUUUUAAAAGUGUGCAUUGAGGGGAGAUAGAAGCUCUGCAUAGUGAAGUGUUUGGGGGAACUCUGGGUGGCAA